UACGUAGGGUGCGAGCGUUGUCCGGAAUUAUUGGGCGUAAAGGGCUCGUAGGCGGUUUGUCGCGUCGGGAGUGAAAAUCCAGGGCUUAACUCUGGACUGGCUUUCGAUACGGGCAGACUAGAGGUAUGCAGGGGAGAACGGAAUUCCUGGUGUAGCGGUGAAAUGCGCAGAUAUCAGGAGGAACACCAGUGGCGAAGGCGGCCCGCUGGGCAGUGGCUGACGCUGAGGCGCGACAGCGUGGGGAGCAAACAGG
RNAcentral lists this ribosomal RNA (253 nucleotides) under uncultured bacterium. Its description in RNAcentral is "partial 16S ribosomal RNA". It matches the Rfam family "Bacterial small subunit ribosomal RNA", at positions 524 to 776 of the family's 1533-position model. The record is from RNAcentral.